Long non-coding RNA from Dermochelys coriacea (leatherback sea turtle), 187 nucleotides. RefSeq lists it as uncharacterized. The record is from RefSeq and is a predicted model, not a curated record. NCBI's taxonomy places the organism in Eukaryota, Metazoa, Chordata, Testudines, Dermochelyidae. The transcript is spliced from 3 exons.
UGGUGUGUAGCUGGGGCUGUAAGUGAUGGCUAGUGGUGUUCUGUUAUUUUCCUUGUUGGGCCUGUCCUAUGUAGGUACCUUCUGGGUACCCAUUUCGCUCAGUCAAUCUGUUUCCUCACUUCCCCAGGUGGGUAUUGUAGUUUUAAGAAUGCUUGAUAAAGAUACUAUAGAGGUUUGUCUCAGUCUG